UCGGGUUAUUCAGGAGUUCG
RNAcentral lists this non-coding RNA (20 nucleotides) under Arabidopsis thaliana (thale cress). The record is from RNAcentral. Lineage: Eukaryota; Viridiplantae; Streptophyta; Magnoliopsida; Brassicales; Brassicaceae.